GGAUGUGAGGGCGAUCUGGCUGCGACAUCUGUCACCCCAUUGAUCGCCAGGGUUGAUUCGGCUGAUCUGGCUGGCUAGACGGUGUCCCCUUCCUCCCUCACCGCUCCAUGUGCGUCCCUCCCGAAGCUGCGCGCUCGGUCGAAGAGGACGACCAUCCCCAAUAGAGGAGGACCGUUCUUCGGUCAAGGGUGUACGAGUAGCUGCGCUCCCCUGCUAGAACCUCCAAACAAGCUCUCAAGACACAACUAUAAAUGUACUGAUUCUUCCCCAGAAAAGGAGGUAAACUGCUGCGUGAUGUUCACUCUUGUA
Molecule: small nuclear RNA, 309 nt
Filed under: Castor canadensis (American beaver)
Lineage: Eukaryota; Metazoa; Chordata; Mammalia; Rodentia; Castoridae
Description: 7SK RNA (ENSCCNG00000003491.1)
Rfam family: 7SK RNA
About the family: 7SK was discovered as an abundant small nuclear RNA in the mid-70s but a possible function has only recently been suggested. Two independent studies have found that 7SK RNA binds the CDK9/cyclin T complex (known as elongation factor P-TEFb).
Source: Rfam by way of RNAcentral